This 235-nucleotide ribosomal RNA is filed under the name Candidatus Scalindua brodae. Its description in RNAcentral is "partial 16S ribosomal RNA". It matches the Rfam family "Bacterial small subunit ribosomal RNA", at positions 565 to 803 of the family's 1533-position model. Lineage: Bacteria; Pseudomonadati; Planctomycetota; Candidatus Brocadiia; Candidatus Brocadiales; Candidatus Scalinduaceae. The record is from RNAcentral.
UGAGCACGUAGGGGGGUUUGUAAGUCAGAUGUGAAAGCCUUCUGUUCAACGGGAGAAUUGCAUCUGAAACUGCUAAUCUUGAGUGUAGGAGGGGAGAAUGGAACUUCUGGUGGAGCGGUGAAAUGCGUAGAUAUCAGAAGGAACGCCGGCGGCGAAAGCGAUUCUCUGGCCUAUUACUGACACUCAGUGUGCGAAAGCUAGGGGAGCAAACGGGAUAGAUACCCCGAGCAGCAGU